Molecule: ribosomal RNA, 309 nt
Filed under: uncultured bacterium
Lineage: Bacteria
Description: bacterial SSU rRNA
Rfam family: Bacterial small subunit ribosomal RNA
Source: RNAcentral
GAUGAACGCUGGCGGCGUGCUUAACACAUGCAAGUCGAGCGAUGAAGUUUCCUUCGGGAAACGGAUUAGCGGCGGACGGGUGAGUAACACGUGGGUAACCUGCCUCAUAGAGUGGAAUAGCCUUCCGAAAGGAAGAUUAAUACCGCAUAAUGUUGAAAGAUGGCAUCAUCAUUCAACCAAAGGAGCAAUCCGCUAUGAGAUGGACCCGCGGCGCAUUAGCUAGUUGGUGAGGUAACGGCUCACCAAGGCCACGAUGCAUAGCCGACCUGAGAGGGUGAUCGGCCACACUGGGACUGAGACACGGCCCAG